GUGAGGAAUUUUCCGCAAUGGGCGAAAGCCUGACGGAGCAAUGCCGCGUGAAGGAUGAAGGCCUAUGGGUUGUAAACUUCUUUUCUCAGAAAAGAAUUAUGACGGUAUCUGAGGAAUAAGCAUCGGCUAACUCUGUGCCAGCAGCCGCGGUAAGACAGAGGAUGCAAGCGUUAUCCGGAAUGAUUGGGCGUAAAGCGUCUGUAGGUUGUUUAAAAAGUAUUCUGUCAAAGAUUAGGGCUUAACCCUAGAUAGGCAGAAUAAACUUUUAAGCUAGAGUUUGGUAGAGGCAGAGGGAAUUCCCGGUGGAGCGGUGAAAUGCGUAGAUAUCGGGAGGAACACCAAAGGCGAAGGCACUCUGCUGGGCCAAUACUAACACUGAGAGACGAAAGCGAGGGGAGCAAAUGGGAUUAGAAACCCUAUAGUCC
This 425-nucleotide ribosomal RNA is filed under the name uncultured bacterium. RNAcentral describes it as "partial 16S ribosomal RNA". It matches the Rfam family "Bacterial small subunit ribosomal RNA", at positions 354 to 796 of the family's 1533-position model. The record is from RNAcentral.